CCUGGCUCAUUAAAAUCUGAAUUGUCGGCCAGGUGUGAUGGUUCACACCUGUAAUCCCAGUUACUCGGGAGGCUAAGGCAGGAGAAUCGCUUGAAUCUGGGAGGAGUAGGCUGCAGUGAGCUGAGACGGCGCCACUGCACCCCAGCCUGGGCGACAGAGUGAGACUUCGUCUCAAAAAAAAAAAAAAAAAAUCUGGAUUGUCCAGUGCGGCUUCCGUUGACGGUUGCCCGCGGGGAUAUAGGAACAUGGCGGCCUCCCCUCCGGCAAUCACAGAAGUAGCUGAAAAGGAGGAAAGUAAUGCCCAGGGGAAUCCAGUGUGGGAUUAUGACAAGCAAUGGCAGUUAGCUGGAUUUGCUGCCACUUUUUGCACAACAAGGGAAGUGUUUUAAUUGGCUUUGCGCUUCCUGCUUUACAACAGUUCUGGCCUCACAUUACCAGUAACAGUCAGCAGCAAGAUGAACUUGGACCGUCAAAAAUAAACUCCAGGAAUGAAGUGAUUGCAGGAGUGCUAUUCAGGUGCCUUAUGUCUGGCGUAAAAACAUGGAUCUGAAGGGCCAGCAAGCUUCCUCAGGGAUUACUGAGGCAUCUCCUUGGAAAUCACAGCUCAUUAAUCCUGCUGUGAAGAAAGAGGCAGCCAGGACCUCUGGCUUUUCCUUUUUCUGAGCCAUAUUCUGUUCCAGCCAGCUUGGAUACCUUACAUGGACCUUAACAGGGCUCAUUACCCAGCACCAGUUGGGACUCGCUACCAUCUGUAAACUGUGCAGCCUGGAGGGAGCCUGUUGACUGGCAAUGCCAGAGAUGUCUCUUCUCUUUGCCUUUGUAAAGUCAUUUCUUUUAGGUGUGGUGAUUAAUUUAUUGAAAUUCAGGUGAAGACACCUGACCAUUUGACAGAGGGAAGAAAAGUGCUAGAUGAAAAUAUGCACUAUUCUCAAAUGUUCUCAAAGAGACUUUUAACCUCUAGUCUCAAUAGAUACUUCUGGUUUGGUUUCUCUACUUUUCUCUUGACACAAGUUUCAUUCAGAAGGUAGCAUCACAGAACGUGAAGUCACUCACCCUAGGUCAAAUUCCACAUUCCCUUUUGAAUAGACACUAAAAUGUCUAGCCUUUAUCCCACACAAUGAUAUUCGUACUCUUCUGAUUUAUCCCUGUAUUUCGUUAAGUUACUUUAAAUCCUUGGAUGAUGAGGGUCAUUGUUAUUUCCCACCUGAUGAAAAACUGAGACCUGAGAUACACAUAGAAGAGCUUUACCCCAAACCCAUGUUUCGUAACCAAAUAAUGUGAUAGUGACCUAGAACAGCUUAUUUCCUAGUCAAAAGCAGUUGUGAAACAAGGUAACUGUGACUCCUCCUCUCUGUUACACAUGCGUGUGUUGUGCCCUCUGCCCCUGCACUGACACAGUCAUCUUGAAUCACUUCACUGUUGUGUAAGAGGCUGUGGGGAAAACCUAAAGGAAUGGUUUAGUGGGUAAUUCUGACUAUUGGUAUUUUAAUAUUUGGGGUUUAAAAAAAAUUUGUAGAAAUGGGGUCUCGCUGUGUCACCCAGUCUGGCUUCAAACUUGGGCUUGAACAAUCCUCCUGCCUCAGCCUCCCAAAGUGCUAGGUCUAUAGUCAUCAGCUGUCAUGACUGGCUCUACUGGCAUUUUAGAAGUAUUCACAAAGGAGAGGGAACCAAAAAGGUGUCUCUUUGGUGGCAGUUUCAGGGAUCAGGAUGCUGGAUAAAAAAGAAAGUGGGCCUCCUCUGAAUUUAAAGUGGGACUUUGCUCCUUGGAUCUUUCCCAGGAGUUCAUUCCGAGGCCAGCACAUACAGUCUCAUCAGGCAUGUAGUUAAUGAAUGACUCUUUGCUGGUGGGAAUGUUAAUGUGCUGUAAAUUUUGGUGUGAAGUGUUCCAUGUCACAUUUGCCUUAACAUGUUUUUCCAUGCCUCUUAUUUAUAUGUCAUGGGAAGGGAAUGCAUGAUAAUGGACACUUUAAGGCAAGGCUUUUGACUGAAAGUAUAUGGAUUAUAUGCGUAGGAGACAAUUGAUUUCACUAGUAUUUGCGGAAACAAAUAUGAAGGCUGAUAUUUUUAUCUUUUUUUAAAAUGACAUUUUGGGUUAGAGAUGUAACAUGCACUCAUGUACAAAGUAGAGAGAUUUCAGGAGAAUAUGAUGAAAUUGAAUUCACUAAAAUCUGUCUACAUAGAAUUACACCCAUUGUGACCAUUUUGGAUCAUUUCCAGUUAGGCUGCUCCGUGACAAUACCCAUUUUUUAAAAAGUAGGACUCUUGACAUGAUAAAUUUUAUCAAGUAAAUUUAUGCUCUCACACUCAGAAAUUUGAAAAAGUCUUUCAUAUAUAUACUUUUUAUUUUAUAGGCAUGGGAAAGGCACAUUUUUAUCCCUGGGAUUGAAGUCUUCUAUCUCCUACCUUAAAUGCCAACUUGAAUCUUCUUAGUGCCCAACAUGUUAUUUUGGAGCAUAAGGGCCAGCCACAAGUGGGAGACAUUAGCCAGUCAGAAAAAUGCAGCUGACUGCUGUUCGGGUCCGGCACGUCUGCCAGGGGGCUACCGACCUGCGGGAGUCCCCGAGACCGCCAAUGUAAAUGUCUCGUUCAACCUGAGGGAGAGAGUGCGUGGAAGUGAAAGAAAAAAGUAAAGCGGAGUGUGGAGGUCUGCGUAACUUAUGGUCAAAAUGCAGCAAGUUUAUUCUCGUGGGUUACAGCUUUUAUACCUUUUUUUCUUGUUACAUUUACUUUACCUCAGCAGAAAAGGGGUAAACAGAAAGGAAAUAGAAACUCCAUAAAAAUAGUUAUCAGGGGCUUGUGGUAACAGCCCACAAAGCAGUUUAAGUUUUUCAAAGAUACACAGUGCAAGCAAACAAUGGUGCCCUUAAGGUGGCUUGUUAAUCCUGUUUUCCAUCAGGAGGUAAAACAAAGGCUUAGCUCCAGGGAAAAUAUGGGCAGGGGUCUCUUGUCCCUCUUAGGCAUCUCAAUUGUAUCAAGUUUAUUGCUUACACAGAGACUGAUGGGGACAUGAAAGCAGACAGCACAAUGUCCUCAUAAACCACAGACCUUUGCUUUGUAUUCUGUUUUUGCCUCAGUGACUCAGCCCGCGACCUUUGUCUCAGCUUGACAGCCCUCGAGAGGGGGCAGUGCAGAUAGGUCCAGCAGCCAAGAUGGGACGAGUCAUGCUAACUGUCUCAAGCCUUUGGCGCAAACACUGCACAGACUGUAUUCCUUGUUACAAUAGUUCCCUGUUACAUGCAUCCAGUAGUAUAACUGGGACAACAAUGGUCAUUUUGAGAGACAUCUUAGUCAACUAGAAAGGAAGAUGAUAAUGCUACCACUGAUAAAAGCCUUACUAAAACCAAGAACAGUUUCUUAUCUAAUCCUAUAAAAAAUGUGUAUUAAAUACUGCUAUUGUCUCUGUUUUUCAAAGGACAUUAAUGACUACAGAACAUAGGCUUACCUUGACACAGUAUCACAGCCAAAAUAUUGUGAGUGCUGGUGGAGGAGGACUUAGAUCUAGGUUUUAGCUGGCCUUGAAUUCUAUGGGAUUAAUUAUAAGCUGUGAGAAGCCUUUUAAAGUAUGUUUUUGUGGCUAGGAAAAGCAUUAGUUACCUCAGCCUCCAUCUCCUCUCCAUUUUCCAGUCAAUAUCAUUAUCCAGAGGACCCACAGGUGACUUUGUAGUUGCAGAGAUAACAGAUGCUAAAAGGGCUUGUGAAUAGGAAAAGAUGUUUUUUUUGGUGGGGAGGAAAGAGAGGAAUGCAGGCAGGAAGGGA
Molecule: long non-coding RNA, 3756 nt
Filed under: Callithrix jacchus (white-tufted-ear marmoset)
Lineage: Eukaryota; Metazoa; Chordata; Mammalia; Primates; Cebidae
Description: lncRNA (ENSCJAG00000072593.1)
Source: RNAcentral